Pelobates cultripes (western spadefoot toad) is the source of this 4363-nucleotide non-coding RNA. The record is from the annotation of a GenBank genome assembly. NCBI's taxonomy places the organism in Eukaryota, Metazoa, Chordata, Amphibia, Anura, Pelobatidae.
UUUUAUGCCUAAUUCGUUUCCUUGAAGGGUGCAACCAUUAUGUGAAGCUUUAUUUUUUGCGAUAUUAUAUAAGCAAAGCUUUUUUUUGACAGUUUUGUAACAGUUGCUGAUAACAUUAUAGUCUUAAUUACAUAACACAGCAUAUUUUCUUUUUUUUUUUAUUCUUUAUUUAACAUUUGGCAAUGACAUAACAAGCAAUCUGCCGCACAUAUAUUCCACAUUUUCCUGCUGGUUACAUUGCUCAUGAAAAAUACCCAGAGCACCGGGCCCCGACCACAGUCCCCCAGCUCCCGCUCCUCCAGCCAAGUGCCAGGGUCGUGCACUUUGCUCCGAGUUUUAGGCUUGUAUGUGCGUCCCCUCGGCUCUUUAUCAGUCCCUUCCCAUGUCAAUGCCACAUUAAACAGAAGUCCAACUGAACAGUAAUAAACCAGAAAGAAUGAAGUUGUCUCCAUCCCGCUCCCAUAUAUUCAUCGCAUUGUCACCCCAGGCCUCUGGACCUCCCAUUCCAUCCCUACCACCCUCGACCCACCCCCGAGGAGGAACGCUAUUCCGUGGGCCAAGUUCCAUCCUCGGUCCUGUCGACCUCAACACAGCAUAUUUUCUAAUGCAUUACAUAAACUCUGAUCCUGAUCCCUGUUCUCCUGUCAUUUCUUAAUGCAUCAAAUAGAUAAAAUACAAUAAACUGAUGGGUAAUAAACCCUCUCUACAGUAUAAGAUCGGUAGGAUGUUCGCAAUUGGUUUUCAAUAAUAACCAAAAAAAACGCAAUGGUCAAUUAUGCGACUGUUACGCGAUGAAUUGAGUUUAAACCAAAUUUUGAACUGAAAAACCAGGGUGCGACUAUGCGGUGAAAUACGGUAGUAGUAGAAAACCGGAUUAGCAAAUAUCUUUAUGGUAUAGAAUAGAUUGCUGCUAUUUCUAUAAAUAGGGGCAAGAAAUGUUACGUUGAAUUCCAAUUAAUGCUUUAUAGCCAGAUCUGGGCGGGUUAUCACCUACGCCAGGAGUUCAUUGUCUUUUGUUUAAAUAGAAAUAAGCAGGGGAGGCAGGCGUUAGUUUGAGUCACAGUGUGACCAUGUUAAUGCCUGCAGCCUUCACUCUAUUAGCUGUUGGAAAGCAGACAAAAUGUGGUUUUAUUCACUUGGUGGCCUAAUUCACAGCUUCUCACAGUCUAUGGAGUUUUUCUACAACACACAUCUCUUCGUGGCUACAUUUAAUAACCAGAGUAAGCAGUAUUUUCUAAAACCUGAAAUAUUUUGUUUUAAAAAAUGUUUUUAUUUUUUGGCCAUUUGCAAAAUUUUCAGACUUGUCUGACUCUGAAUUUACAAAUGAACAGGAAACGUUGUUUGUGUGUGUUAGUGUCACAGCAUCACCGUAAUGUCUUGGAAGUGUUCUAGAAAUUUAAUAAAAUACUGUGCUUGUACCAAGCAUUUACAGAUAGCAAUAGAGUGAAGGUUUUCUGGAAUGGUUGUGUCCUUCAAACACAUCCUUAACCCCUUCAUGACAGAUGACAAAUCCUAGGAUGUCAUUAUGGUUAUGACCUGUCCAAUUUGUCUUGAAGGUAUUUAAAUAAGUCUGUCAUAUAACCAUUGUAUACUUGCCAACUUUUCCAAACUUGUAGCUGAGACAGCACUGGAACAUGGCAGUGAUACAAAUUUUCACAGGCACCCCCGUGCUGGGUCCAAUGUGUAGCUGUGAAAUUGAAUUAUCCUCUUGGUGGGCAGGAGGACCGAAUUACAAGCUGCAUUUUAAGGUCCCCCCACCCCCUGUUAAAAACAGGCCUGAGUAAUAGAUCAAAACUGUCCUGUUGAAUUGAGGGCUGUUGGCACAUGGUUGUUUUUAAAACGUUAGGGGUGGAUAAUGUUGCCACUUCCUCCUGACUAUGAACUAUUGUACAAAGUGGCGCUGCCAGCAUAUCCUGCUUAUGUACCAUGAUUUAAUGUUUUAAAAGAUUUAUAUAGUGGGACAAUGCUAAUCUGAAUAAUUUUGUAAUUUUAAGCAGAUUUAGUUUUUUUGGAGAGCAAAAUGUUUUGGGUGUUUUUUGUCUGUUUUUUCUGUUUGUCAACCUAUAGUUGCAAUAUAACAUCUUAAAAAAUACAUGCCCAAGUGGCCACCUGCAGAGAAAAACAAACCCAUAUCUUCAUGUGUUUCUAGCCAUACGUUAUUAUAGAUGACAUCCUUUACACUAUAGGUAUAAUGUUUAAAGUGAUAUGAUAAAAGGACAUUUUAGUCACUGUGCCACCUUUUCUAAGUAGCUGUAGUUGAUCGCUAUAAAGACUUGCAUUAUCACUGAAGAAAUAUUUUUGACAUGAACUCCUAGAAAACUGAUUUAUAGUUUUUCUGGUUCUCAAAACCCUGCAUUUCUGAAGUUUCUGUCUGUUCCAAGGAGCUGCAGAAGACCUGGGCUGUUGUAGGGUCAUCUAUUUACCUAACAGAAGAAUUUUAAAAUUGCAAUUGGUUUGAAAAUAAAAAUACCAAAUACAUUAAUUUAUCAAACUCUAACAGGUUUAUUUGCUAAACACCAAAUUUGGUUAAUAUGACUGAAUUCAAACCGGCUGGGCAAUUUCCAUAUUAAUUGAAGCCAACAUUGGUUGAAAUGUGUUCCUCCCGCCUGAGGCUCCAUCAUUUGGCUAGAUGCAUUUCGAGUCAACUUUUAAAUUCAGGUGUUUGUGGGUUGUUGCUUUUAAAUGUAUUUAUUUUAUUUAAACAUUUAAAUGCUAUAUAAAGCAUUAAAUCUUGACAUGUGCAAAGCACUGUUUCUUAACAUCUGGGCAGAAUGCAUCAGGUAAGAUGGACAUUCAUAUAUUCUAGUAACAACAAAAAACAUUGAUGGUGUGAGGGUUGUUAUGUGGCAGCUGUCUGGUAUGUGCUGAUCAGCCAGUACAAACCAUGGGGCUUACUAUAACCAUUCAGUUUAACAUAUCUGAUAAAUAGUGGAGAGCCAGGAAUGGCACCAGUAGAAUAUUGGGGGGACUUGGAACUGAUCCCUUCCCCAAACAUGUUGGCUGAUCAUGGGUUUAUUCAAGAAACGAUAGGUGAAAAUGAUUCACACAUAGCUGUAAAAUUAAGAAUUAAAACCGGUAUUUGCCUGAUAUUGUAACACCCCAGAACUGGAUUUGUUUUUUUUCCCUUUACAUGUCCCUAGGCUGUAAUACACCUUUACUGACGUGCUGAAAUCAGGAAUUGAGUUUGUCUCUAAACAACUCGAGGGGAUUGCAGUUAUCCACUGAUAUGAAGAAUCUAUGAGCAUGCAUGUAUAUGAUAUCAAAGACAUGGAAUGCAGUUUGAUUACGUGCCAUGAAAUAGCAUACAGUUUGCAUAUCCACGUAAAUCUUAUACGUUACCCGACGUGAUCUUCAUUUGUGUCUAUAAGGAAAAACCCUUGUGUGUUUUUAAUGCCAUGUGGUUAAAAUGUCAAAGGUGCUCCAAAACUCAGCACUCCAGAAAGAAAAUCAACUCAUAGUUGCCAUAAAAACAGCUUCUUCUUUAUCUAUCGUUAUAUCCAAGUCAGUCAUACAAAAAAACCUAUAAAUGUACGAAGGGGGGUGAGGAGCAAAAAAAAAAAAAUGAAUUAAUUGUACCACGUGCCCAGGAAAGCUUUUGACAUAAGGAGGUUAUAUCACUUAUUGCUAGGAUCUCCCCACCUGGAGAUACAGACCUGGGGGUGCAGCUUGGGAAUUUUGUCUUUUCUGAACAAUGCUGUAUUAGAUUUUUUUUUAAAUUACCCACUUAGUUGCCCUUAUAUGUAGUGCAAUAAACAAUCUCUUUUAAAUAUUUGUUUGUUUUAUUUGGACAAUUGCCAAAAAUGUGUAACUGAGAAUGAAGGAAUUCUUAUCGAAGACUAGAAUGGUUAGGUUAUUAUUUAGAUUAGAGAGAAGGCCGUGACAAAACUAGUGUUCAACUUUUAAACUGCAAUAAAGUGGUUUGUUUUUUGAUUGCGGUUGUGUGUGCUAUAAGCAGAGGUGGAGUGCUGUGAGAUUAUAUCUAUAAAUAUACACGUUCUAUAUAAAAUCAUGUAUAACUUGAUGGAAAAAUAUGGUUUGACUGGUAUUGACUGAGUGAAUUUUCAGUUUUAUCAAAUGUCUUGUCCUACAAUAAUUUAAAAAAAAAAACCUUUUUGAAUAAAGAAAUGUCGUAUUGAAUUUCAUUCAAAUGUAAAUAAACAUUCUAGAACAGACUGUUUUUGUACUGUUAAUGUUCAUUGGGUCAAUGAAAGCUAAGUACAAAUCUAAAGAGGUUUAAUGUAAUUGCAGUCUACCAUAGGAUUAGACUUAUUGUAAACUGGUUUCUGCAGAGCAGAAGUUGAAAAGCUGGUUCUAUUUCUGAACAAAACCUAUUUUACCUCUUAUGACUGGUAAAAUAUACAAG